RNAcentral lists this ribosomal RNA (674 nucleotides) under Aquiflexum sp. RNAcentral describes it as "bacterial SSU rRNA". It matches the Rfam family "Bacterial small subunit ribosomal RNA", at positions 53 to 723 of the family's 1533-position model. The record is from RNAcentral. Lineage: Bacteria; Pseudomonadati; Bacteroidota; Cytophagia; Cytophagales; Cyclobacteriaceae.
ACAUGCAAGUCGAGCGGCAAGUCGAGGAGUAAUCUGAGACCUAGAGCGGCGCACGGGUGCGUAACGCGUAUGCAACCUACCCUUUACCGGGGGAUAGCCCGGGGAAACCCGGAUUAAUACCCCAUAGUAUACAGAGACUGCAUGGUUUUUAUAUUAAAGAUUUAUCGGUAAGGGAUGGGCAUGCGUAGGAUUAGUUAGUUGGCGGGGUAACGGCCCACCAAGACUGUGAUCCUUAGGGGUUCUGAGAGGAAGGUCCCCCACACUGGCACUGAGAUACGGGCCAGACUCCUACGGGAGGCAGCAGUAGGGAAUAUUGGGCAAUGGGCGGGAGCCUGACCCAGCCAUGCCGCGUGCAGGAAGAAGGCGUUAUGCGUUGUAAACUGCUUUUAUACGGGAAGAAAAGGCCCAUGCGUGGGACAUUGCCGGUACCGUAUGAAUAAGCACCGGCUAACUCCGUGCCAGCAGCCGCGGUAAUACGGAGGGUGCAAGCGUUGUCCGGAUUUAUUGGGUUUAAAGGGUGCGUAGGCGGCCCGUUAAGUCAGCGGUGAAAGUCUGUGGCUCAACCAUAGAAGCGCCGUUGAUACUGAUGGGCUUGAGUGCCGUAUGGGUACAUGGAAUUGAUGGUGUAGCGGUGAAAUGCAUAGAUACCAUCAGGAACACCGAUAGCGUAGGCA